Lolium perenne is the source of this 3883-nucleotide long non-coding RNA. RefSeq lists it as uncharacterized. The record is from RefSeq and is a predicted model, not a curated record. NCBI's taxonomy places the organism in Eukaryota, Viridiplantae, Streptophyta, Magnoliopsida, Poales, Poaceae.
AUAUAUGCCAAUAGAUCAGCGGUACGGGCGCGGCACGCCGCGCCAAUGCUUCCUAGUAAAAGUUGGAAGGUUUAACGCUUUUGAGUUGAUCGGGGCACUGUAGAUACUCUAUUUUUCUGAUCGCUGAUUGGUCUCUCUGUCCCUUUAACGGUCGGUCGGUUAGUGUCCUGUGAAAUCUUGCUUUUCAGUUCAAUUUAUUUUGUUCACAAUUUAUCCGGUAACUCCCGAUGUCAUCCGGUUUUCCGGUGCAUGUGGGCUCCACCCUCCACCGCUUACCCUUCUACUACAUUCUUUUCUCACAAUCCGCCGCCCCAAAGCAGAGACGCCGGUCAACAUCCAGUUUCCCCCCUCCUCCAGGCAGCAGGUCGUCCCGCUCCUCGACGGCCCAGUCGAACACCGCCCAUGAAGGUUGUCAAAAAGGGUCUCGACCGUGCGUUGCUCAGCUGCGCGCCGUCGCCGGCCACCACACCACAAACUAGUGGAGGUUCUCAGCAUCGCGUGCACCGGCAACUUGGCAAGAGGAUGCCGUUCUUCGCGGGACCGGUCGAGCUGCACGAUGGUGGACGACGAGGGACGCCUCCUCAGCGUGGUAUUCUCGACAGCCUCAUGGACGAACGCGGCAUCGGAAUCUCCAAUCUUCCGGCUGCUCGGCGGACGCAGCAAUCUCAUGGUCAAUCCGUAAACAGUGCCAUCUGUGGAAGGGGUGCGUGUAGGGGUAGCGCCCCGAUGGUGAGGAGCUGCCCGAGGCCGUUGCCUCAGGAGGGAGCCAUCCCUCGCGCCGCAGCUAAGGCGAGGCGGAGCAGGGCAGGGAAGCGACCACCACGGGAGCCCCACGGCCGCCACGGCUGCACUGUAGCCCCAAAACUGAAACACACUUUGAUUUGUUGGGGGCGUUGAGGUUCAGCAGGAGCUAGGAGUCCCACAAGCAGGGUCUGUAGAUCCUGUGAAGAUUGGGGAACGAGGGCAGCCGAAGAGAUAUAGUACGACUAUACAGACUAUACGAGGCAACCUAAGGUACUUGCCUGAAUUCUAAUUUCCAACAUACAGUAGUACUGUAGUAAUUUUCAAUGUGGGUUUGACAAGAUACACAAGGGAGACACAAAAGGGAUGCAACAUGAUUGUUUUAUUUCAGCCGUCCAAUCAUGUCAAGCACCUUUUUGAAUUCUUAGCAAUUUCUUGACCGUUUCAGGGCUGAUGGUUUCUGAUACUCAUUUUUUACUACUGUACUUAUGGUCAACAUGGAAGUAGAAAAGACAAGCAAUAAUUAGUAGUAGAAGAUAUGUUUUCAUGGUUCUAAAUUUCUAAUAAGUUUGUUUGCAAUUUAGUACUAUGGAUGGAGCGUUGCUCUUGCAAUUGGUCCGAAUAAGUGCACCAUGUUUUACAAACUUUCAGAGAAUAAUAGAUAGGAGAAGGAGAGAUGCAAUUGGAGCCGGUUACAAAUUCGCUCCACAGUUGCAAAUGGAAGCCUAAGGUCUCUUUGACCUUGCUGGAUAAAUGUUUGGCUCUCCAUUUUAACAAGAGGGUGAUAGAGUAAAGUUGUUGCCUCAAAUUAAAAAGAUAAGAUGGAGAGAAGGUUCAGUUUAACACUGUUCACAGUAUUUUGCAUAGAUCUUAUCUCGGUUCAUGUGAAUUGCUGGAAUUUAACCAAUGAAGUUUCAACUAACUUUUGAAAGGGCACAAUUUGAACAACUAAAACGCCAAGCUUGCCCAUUGAAUUAAAUAUGGAGUUAUAGUUUUUUUUUUCAUGUUAUUUGGUACAUGUGUGCCUUGCUUUUGGUUUCUCUAAAAUGUUUACUUAUAUUACUUUAUAUGAAUCUAGAGCACCAGUAAACAGGGUUGUUCCACUGCUAGGGAAUUGUGCUACGGCUAAUGUUGAUGGUCCAUGCUUUGUAGAUUCAGAGAUGGGAGCUUGCUACUUGACCAGAGGUAACAGUACCGUACUACAUGGAUCUAUGGUAUUAACCUGAGGAGGUAACCAAUUUUGAAUGUAGGUUGGAAGCAGCUUUGACUUGCCCCGGAUGUAGUACCAAGUGCAGCUGCAACUUUCAACUACAGGCAAACAUGCUUAAUUGUAAUUUAGCUAGCUCAGGAAACGGGAAAGUUAUAUAGAAUGUUAUUUAGACAUUAAAGUGAGUACUUGAGUGCUAAUCACCUCUGCUCGGUCAUAGAAAUGCAACCCAGCUUAGGUGCUGAACAUUUUCAGUAGACAUGGUCCAAUACUUUUUUCCUCUUUUAUUCAAACCACCUUUCAAAACUUUUUUCUUAGCAAUUAGUUUUAUUCUCUUAAACUUUAUUUUUGGUCUCUAUAUUCUCUGCUACUACAGAAUUGGGGAGCAACUUGACGACAUUACGCAGUUUGGUCGGCUAGGCUGCUGCAACGCUAGGGGAGAAGGACAUCGGUGUAGAGCAUGGCGAGGCUGAAUAGUUGUUGUAUUUGAGAAUAUCCGAUCGGUAGUUGUACGUAUGAACACCCAUUAGCAUCUGUUGUUGGAGCUGCAGAAGGCCUUCUCCCCUACAAUUGAAGGUCAGGUCCACUUCCCAUUGUGAACCUUAUGUCGAGCUCCCAGUUUGAAAUACCAUUUAAGUUUCUGUAUGGAGUUCCAAAACUGGGAGCCCUUAGAACUCGUUACCCUCUCCUCUUUGGGUGCUGCUCCGACCCCUUCGCCACGGUCCAUUCGACUAGGGUGGUCGAGGGUAGCCCCGGGGAGUGGCGCAUCCGGUUCCGACGGCACCUUGGCUUGGCGGAAAAGGUCGAAUGGGAUGAUCUAUGCCGUGAAAUACAAGGGCUCCCGGACGAAGUAGGGAAUGAUUAGAUUUCUUGGUCCCUGGAGCCCUCAGGGGUAUACUCGACGCGGUCGGUGUAUUGUGGACUCCUGCAGGGUGCAGCAGUUACACACUUCAAGGAGGUGUGGCGGACACGUGUCCCACCCAAGAUCAAAGUCUUCCUUUGGCAGUUGAUACGGGGAAAGCUACCCUCCUGCGAACAGGUGGCCAAGAGGCGAGGGCCGUCCAAUGGCCUUUGCGCUCUUUGUGGUGAGGUGGAGGAUUGCAACCACAUUUUCUUCACCUGCCCCAUGGCGGGAUACAUGUGGGCCGGGGUUAGGGAACUCCUACACUGUACUUGGAACCCGGCGGGGGUCGGGGACUUCCUUGCCUUAGCACAGGGUUUGCUAGGACCCCUUCGUAGAUUAGUAUGGUUUACCUUUGCGGCCCAAUGCUGGGCCCUCUGGCAUAUUAGGAACAAACUAACUAUUGAAGGGAAACUGAUCGGCAAUGCAGCUGACGCAUUCUUCCACAUGUUGCUUUAUAUGCAGUCUUGGAGGGUUCUGGUCAGACCGAGGGAUCGUGCGUUGCUGGACUUGGCGGUGGACGAGGUCAGGAGGCUACAUGCGCGGACUAGGGCGACUUAGCACAUUCGACCCGCUUCAGGGCUUUGUAUCUUACCGCUUUGUUCUUGUGGUGCUGGGCUUAGCACAGGACGUGUUAGUUAUGGUUUUACCCGUUCUUUGCUGCGCGUGUGUGGCGUGAGUCGUGUGGUUGGUUGUAAACUCUGACUUUGGUCGCUUGCUUUAUUUAUAAAGCUGGGUCUACGGACCUUCGGUUUAAACAAUUGAAGGUCAAGAGCAAAAGAGACCGAGAAAGAAUUAAACACUGUCGUUUCGAGUUCUCCUUUGCUUUCAGUUGUUCUGUCUGAGGCGGAUGAUCUGCGAUGGCAGUCGAUCGUAGCACUGGUGAUUUUUCUAUUGUUCGAUGUUCUCCGCUGCAUUGUUAUUUAUCCAUAUGUUGUCCUGCUAAUGCCUUAUGUCUUCAGUCUUUUCUUACAGUAAUUUGUUUCCAUGCUUCAUCUGUUUAUUGUGCAGGUGAUGCUGCAUUGGACGGUUUA